UCGGGAAUUUUGGGCAAUGGGCGAAAGCCUGACCCAGCAACGCCGCGUGAAGGAUGAAGUAUUUCGGUAUGUAAACUUCGAAAGAAUAGGAAGAAUAAAUGACGGUACUAUUUAUAAGGUCCGGCUAACUACGUGCCAGCAGCCGCGGUAAUACGGAGGAUCCAAGCGUUAUCCGGAAUCAUUGGGUUUAAAGGGUCCGUAGGCGGUUAGAUAAGUCAGUGGUGAAAGCCCAUCGCUCAACGGUGGAACGGCCAUUGAUACUGUCUGACUUGAAUUAUUAGGAAGUAACUAGAAUAUGUAGUGUAGCGGUGAAAUGCUUAGAGAUUACAUGGAAUACCAAUUGCGAAGGCAGGUUACUACUAAUGGAUUGACGCUGAUGGACGAAAGCGUGGGUAGCGAACAGGAUUAGAUACCCGAGUAGUCCCUGAGCGGGCUGGCAAGGCGCAU
Molecule: ribosomal RNA, 447 nt
Filed under: uncultured bacterium
Lineage: Bacteria
Description: bacterial SSU rRNA
Rfam family: Bacterial small subunit ribosomal RNA
Source: RNAcentral